GCCGGGCGUUGUGGCGGGCGCCUGUGGUCCCAGCUACUUGGGAGGCUAAGGCAGGAGACUCGCUUGAGCCCAGUAGUGGGAGGUUGCUGUGAGCUGAGAUGCUACGGCACUCUACCCAGGGGGACAGCUUGAGGCUCUGUCUCAAAAAAAAAAAAAAGAUUCAAACUACCCAUUCUACACCUCGGUAAAGUGCGGUGACAUCACAGCUCACAGCAACUGCUCAAAAUCUUGGGCUUAAGUGAUUCUCUUGCC
RNAcentral lists this small RNA (252 nucleotides) under Otolemur garnettii (small-eared galago). RNAcentral's name for it is "Metazoan signal recognition particle RNA (ENSOGAG00000024212.1)". Lineage: Eukaryota; Metazoa; Chordata; Mammalia; Primates; Galagidae. The record is from RNAcentral.